RNAcentral lists this ribosomal RNA (301 nucleotides) under uncultured bacterium. Its description in RNAcentral is "partial 16S ribosomal RNA". It matches the Rfam family "Bacterial small subunit ribosomal RNA", at positions 509 to 808 of the family's 1533-position model. The record is from RNAcentral.
CAGUGCCGCGGGAAUACGUAGGGUGCAAGCGUUAAUCGGAAUUACUGGGCGUAAAGCGUGCGCAGGCGGUUAUAUAAGACAGAUGUGAAAUCCCCGGGCUCAACCUGGGAACUGCAUUUGUGACUGUAUAGCUAGAGUACGGCAGAGGGGGAUGGAAUUCCGCGUGUAGCAGUGAAAUGCGUAGAUAUGCGGAGGAACACCGAUGGCGAAGGCAAUCCCCUGGGCCUGUACUGACGCUCAUGCACGAAAGCGUGGGGAGCAAACAGGAUUAGAUACCCCUGUAGUCCCUGUCUCUUAUACA